UUGGAUAAAGCGGCCAUUAAGACAUGUUCGGGAGAGUCACCUUGUACGGUGACAAAAGUGGAAGUGGCAAAGCGUGUGCUAGGUCUUACCUUUAUAUGGCUUGUCACUUUAAUCCCAAGCACCUUAUGGGCACAAGUGAACACUCUCUUCGUCAAACAAGGGACCACCUUGGACCGAAAACUCGGAUCCCACUUCCAAAUCCCAGCGGCUUCGCUGGGAAGCUUUGUUACACUCUCAAUGCUUCUUUCUGUGCCAAUGUAUGACCAAUACUUUGUUCCCUUCAUGCGCAAGAAAACUGGAAACCCUAGAGGGAUCACUAUACUCCAAAGGCUGGGGAUAGGGUUUGUGAUCCAAAUUGUUGCAAUCGCGGUUGCUUCAGCCGUAGAGGUCAAGAGGAUGCGGGUAAUAAAGGAAUUUCGCAUAGCUAGCCCGAAACAAGUUGUGCCUAUGAGUAUUUUUUGGUUGCUCCCUCAGUACUCUCUUCUAGGCAUUGGAGAUGUGUUCAAUGCGAUUGGUUUGCUUGAGUUUUUCUACGAUCAGUCACCUGAGGAAAUGCAGAGCCUUGGAACAACGUUUUUUACGAGUGGGAUCGGUCUUGGGAACUUCUUGAAUAGCUUCUUGGUGACAAUGGUUGAUAAGAUCACGACUAAAGGGGGAGGGAAGAGUUGGAUUGGGGAUAAUUUGAAUGAUUCAAGGCUAGAUUACUAUUAUGGGUUUCUAGUGGUGAUUUCGAUUGUGAACAUGGGUUUGUUCUUGUGGACAGCUAGCAAGUAUGUUUACAAGAGUGAUGAGAUCAAAGAUUUUAGUGGAGGAUGUGUUGAAAUGGAGGCCAAAGCCUUAGACACAUCUCCUCUUACUAUCCAAUUAUAACAAUGCUAUACAUGUAUAUAUAUAUAUAUAUAUAUAUAUAUAUGGUUUUCAAGAAAUUUUGUAAGUUGUGGUAUUCUGAUAACAUGAUAUGAAUAAAACUUUAGUGUUUAUUCUAAUCAAUCAGUUAAAACUUGGAAGAAUGAAACAAUUAUUCAAGUCUAUAUAUGGCUUUGCUCUACUUGUUGAAAACACAAAUCGAUUCCCAUUGAUUACAUUGAAGAAUGCACAUGAUUCUGGUUUGAAAAACAAAACUAGUUAAUUAUAACCAACGAGCAUCUUCCUUAAGAUUCAACCACCGAGAAAAACCUAUUCAACAAGCUACCUUUGAAACUCUUAUCUACUAAGGCCCUGUUCGUUUGCUCACCCAGGUGAUCCAUCUGGGCCAUCUGGGUGAAGAUGCAAAUCGAUGUUCGUUUUGUGCAUUAUAAUGCUACAUCCAGAUGGAUCACCCAGCUGAAUUUUUAAAAACUCAUCUCAAAUUGUCACUCAAAUGAAGGUGAGUCUUGAUGGUGCAUCUGGAUGCAGAUGCAUCUAGUUCAGUCCAAAAUGAUUAAUGACAAAAAUGACUUUUUAAAAUCAAAAUAUUAUUUUCAAACCAUGAAUUCUAUUUUUUUUGCAUAUACAUUUUUCCGCUAGAACCGAAAGAUGUAUUUUCCCGCCAAAACUAAAAAACAAUCUUUCCCGCCAAAAACGCAAAAAUGCAUUUUUUCGCAAAAAAAACGUAAAACAAACAUUUCCAUUUAUAUGGCUUGUCACUUUAAUCCCAAGCACCUUAUGGGCACAAGUGAACACUCUCUUCGUCAAACAAGGGACCACCUUGGACCGAAAACUCGGAUCCCACUUCCAAAUCCCAGCGGCUUCGCUGGGAAGCUUUGUUACACUCUCAAUGCUUCUUUCUGUGCCAAUGUAUGACCAAUACUUUGUUCCCUUCAUGCGCAAGA
RNAcentral lists this long non-coding RNA (1811 nucleotides) under Brassica napus (rape). Its description in RNAcentral is "long non-coding RNA (BNAP_LNC013082)". Lineage: Eukaryota; Viridiplantae; Streptophyta; Magnoliopsida; Brassicales; Brassicaceae. The record is from RNAcentral.